RNA transcript from Phacochoerus africanus (Common warthog), 1813 nucleotides. It is a transcript of the gene named myelin associated oligodendrocyte basic protein, with no coding region annotated. Lineage: Eukaryota; Metazoa; Chordata; Mammalia; Artiodactyla; Suidae. The record is from RefSeq and is a predicted model, not a curated record. The transcript is spliced from 6 exons.
UUAAGUGGAUCUUGGCUGAGAACGCAUCAAAAACACCUUGUGUAAUGAAAAAUGUGAAUAUAUAAUCUGUCCCUAUAUAUUCUGUACGCACUGAGGUAGCCUCAACCCCCCCAGGGACCUAGUGCAGACGUGGAACCUGUUUCACACAACUGCGACCUGAAGGGAAAAAAGAAGCAAAUGAUACCAAGAAAAGCUCAUAACAGAGAUCUAUUCGACAGAAGUGUUCGGAUGAAAAUACAGUGAGAUGAGUCAGAAAGUAGCUAAGGAGGGCCCCAGACUCUCCAAGAACCAGAAGUUCUCCGAGCACUUCAGCAUACAUUGCUGCCCGCCAUUCACCUUCCUCAACUCCAAACGCGAGAUUGUGGAUCGCAAAUACAGCAUUUGUAAAAGUGGCUGCUUCUACCAGAAGAAAGAGGAGGACUGGAUCUGCUGUGCCUGCCAGAAGACCAGAACCAGCCGCCGUGCAACGUCCCCUCAGAGGCCCAAGCGCCAGCCAGCUGCACCCCCCGCGGUGGUCAGAGCACCAGCCAAGCCACGGUCCCCUCCAAGGUCUGAACGUCAGCCACGCCCCCGCCCAGAAGCCCGACCUCCACCAGCCAAGCAGCGCCCCGCUCAGAAGCCCAAGCAGCCGCCGCGCAGCAGCCCAAACAGAGGGCCAGGCACCAGUCGUGGGGGGUCCCCCAUCAAAGCUACUAGGUUCUGAUUGAAAAGGAAGAGCAAGCCCACCCCUCGGAAGAAGUGAUGGAGGAGUUUCAGGUGAAUGGACGGCCUCAGCUCUCAGUCUCUCUGCUUCUGGACCCACAUGCCCUUGGACAGGUUAUCUGGCUUUGAAUAUGAUGCAGGGGCAGACACCUGCUGAUGCAGCAACUGCCAAUGCCCACAGUCUCCAUGUCGUGGGGGCUGCUGGGCAGCCAGCCUGGAGGCGCAAUUGCUGAAGAGCCCCUCCAAGUCCAUGCCCCCCGAGGACCCUGGCCACUGAAGCUGAUCAUGAGAGAAGACUGAAUUCCAACAUGUUCCCUUCAGGGGCUGACCUUGAUUUAGGGUUCCAUUGUGUGCCCAGCAGUGGCGGUGCAGGAGCCCCUCCUGGGCUAUUUUCCCUACUCAGCUCAGAGCUGAGGGAGAGGGUGGAGGGGAUCCAUCUUUCUUCAGGCUCCACUAUGGUCCAUUUCAGAAGCCAUUCAAACUUGUUUUAAGCUGGCUGAUUUUCUUAUUGGCUUCAAAAGUUGGAAUUGAAGGGUGAAGGAUGCAGGCAACAGAUCCUUCCCCCACUCCUCCUCCACCCCUCCGAUCCUUCUACUCAGGAGGCCCCGGGGGGUGGGGGGAAGUGGAGCCAAACCCUAACCCAAAAGGUAUUGAGGCUCACUGUUCUUCCAGACUUAGUCUACUUUACUUGUGACUCAGAAGCCCUUUCCCUACCCAGCAAGACCACACUCUCUUGCUUCCUUCUCUUUUCUCUUUUUGUACCUGUAAACAAUAUAUUGUCGUAUCUAUUCAAUGCUUGUGCCCACCUCAGGGCUCUGUUCUUGCUGUUCAUUCUGCCUUGAUGUUCUGGCCCAAGAUCUUUGCUCUAAUGCCUUAAGCUCCAUUAUCAUCUCAGAGAGGCUUUCCUUGGAAAUUCAGUGUGGUUUCCAUAGUUACUUUCUAUCCCAUCACUCUAGCACUUAUCACCCUCUGGAAUUACCUUGUUCAUUUAUUUACUUAUUUAUUGCUUGGGUCCCCUCCUCUUCCUCAUGUAAACUUCAUGACUGCCAACACCUGUUUACUGCUACACUUUAAGUUCCCAGCACUAGUAAGAACUCAAUAAAUGCUUGUU